RNAcentral lists this ribosomal RNA (468 nucleotides) under uncultured bacterium. Its description in RNAcentral is "partial 16S ribosomal RNA". It matches the Rfam family "Bacterial small subunit ribosomal RNA", at positions 28 to 507 of the family's 1533-position model. The record is from RNAcentral.
GACGAACGCUGGCGGCGUGCCUAACACAUGCAAGUCGAACGGAAAGGCCCUGCUUUUGUGGGGUGCUCUAGUGGCGAACGGGUGAGUAACACGUGAGUAACCUGCCCUUGACUUUGGGAUAACUUCAGGAAACUGGGGCUAAUACCGGAUAGGAGCUCCUGCUGCAUGGUGGGGGUUGGAAAGUUUCGGCGGUUGGGGAUGGACUCGCGGCUUAUCAGCUUGUUGGUGGGGUAGUGGCUUACCAAGGCUUUGACGGGUAGCCGGCCUGAGAGGGUGACCGGCCACAUUGGGACUGAGAUACGGCCCAGACUCCUACGGGAGGCAGCAGUGGGGAAUAUUGCACAAUGGGCGGAAGCCUGAUGCAGCAACGCCGCGUGCGGGAUGACGGCCUUCGGGUUGUAAACCGCUUUCGCCUGUGACGAAGCGUGAGUGACGGUAAUGGGUAAAGAAGCACCGGCUAACUACGUG